AUUGAACGCUGGCGGCAUGCUUUACACAUGCAAGUCGAACGGUAGGGUAGCAAUACCUGAGAGUGGCGAACGGGUGAGUAAUGCAUCGGAACAUGCCCAUUAGUGGGGGAUAGCCCGGCGAAAGCCGGAUUAAUACCGCAUACGAUCUAUGGAUGAAAGCCGGGGACCGCAAGGCCUGGCGCUAAUGGAGGGGCCGAUGUCAGAUUAGCUAGUUGGUGGGGUAAAGGCUCACCAAGGCAACGAUCUGUAGCUGGUUUGAGAGAACGACCAGCCACACUGGGACUGAGACACGGCCCAGACUCCUACGGGAGGCAGCAGUGGGGAAUUUUGGACAAUGGGCGCAAGCCUGAUCCAGCAAUGCCGCGUGCAGGAUGAAGGCCUUCGGGUUGUAAACUGCUUUUGUACGGAACGAAACAGCUCUGGUUAAUACCCGGGGCUAAUGACGGUACCGUAAGAAUAAGCACCGGCUAACUACGUGCCAGCAGCCGCCGUAA
Molecule: ribosomal RNA, 494 nt
Filed under: uncultured bacterium
Lineage: Bacteria
Description: partial 16S ribosomal RNA
Rfam family: Bacterial small subunit ribosomal RNA
Source: RNAcentral